This 352-nucleotide unclassified non-coding RNA is filed under the name soil metagenome. Its description in RNAcentral is "partial contains 5.8S ribosomal RNA, internal transcribed spacer 2, and large subunit ribosomal RNA". The stretch from base 1 to 120 matches the Rfam family "5.8S ribosomal RNA", at positions 35 to 154 of the family's 154-position model. The record is from RNAcentral.
GAUGAAGAACGCAGCGAAAUGCGAUAAGUAAUGCGAAUUACAGAAUCCGUGAGUCAUCGAAUCUUUGAACGCACAUUGCGCCCCUUGGUUAUUCCGAAGGGCAUGCCUGUUCGAGCGUCAUUAUCACCCCUCAAGCCCUGGCUUGGUGUUGGACUUUAGUUAUAGCUUUGCCUAUCAACUGGUCUCAAAGAUAGUGACGGCGCCCCAGAGGGAACCGGGUACGAGGAGCUUUUUACUAAGCAUGUAUCUGGGACGACUCUGGGCGACGGUCUUGUUAUACUUUUUACCUAAGUGUUGACCUCGGAUCAGGUAGGAAUACCCGCUGAACUUAAGCAUAUCAAUAAGCGGAGGA